GGGCGGCCGGCCCGAGGCAGUUCGGGCGCCGGGUCAACCCCGGCGGGGCUCAGAAGCCCCAGUGGACGUCGGCGUUCUGCGCCUUGGCCGCGCGC
This 95-nucleotide transfer RNA is filed under the name Burkholderia plantarii. RNAcentral's name for it is "tRNA-Leu". Lineage: Bacteria; Pseudomonadati; Pseudomonadota; Betaproteobacteria; Burkholderiales; Burkholderiaceae. The record is from RNAcentral.